Molecule: ribosomal RNA, 415 nt
Filed under: uncultured microorganism
Description: bacterial SSU rRNA
Rfam family: Bacterial small subunit ribosomal RNA
Source: RNAcentral
GAGUUUGAUCCUGGCUCAGAUUGAACGCUGGCGGCAUGCCUUACACAUGCAAGUCGAACGGCAGCAUGAUCUAGCUUGCUAGAUUGAUGGCGAGUGGCGAACGGGUGAGUAAUACAUCGGAACGUGCCCUGUAGUGGGGGAUAACUAGUCGAAAGAUUAGCUAAUACCGCAUACGACCUGAGGGUGAAAGUGGGGGACCGCAAGGCCUCAUGCUAUAGGAGCGGCCGAUGUCUGAUUAGCUAGUUGGUGGGGUAAAGGCCCACCAAGGCGACGAUCAGUAGCUGGUCUGAGAGGACGAUCAGCCACACUGGGACUGAGACACGGCCCAGACUCCUACGGGAGGCAGCAGUGGGGAAUUUUGGACAAUGGGCGAAAGCCUGAUCCAGCAAUGCCGCGUGUGUGAAGAAGGCCUCGG